GGAAGCGUCAUAGCUCAGUGGCAGAGUGUCUGCCUUGCAAGCAGAGGGUCCCCAGCUCAAUCCCUGGCCAUCUCCA
This is a non-coding RNA of Podarcis lilfordi (Lilford's wall lizard), 76 nucleotides long. Lineage: Eukaryota; Metazoa; Chordata; Lepidosauria; Squamata; Lacertidae. The record is from the annotation of a GenBank genome assembly.